This 1097-nucleotide long non-coding RNA is filed under the name Cricetulus griseus (Chinese hamster). Its description in RNAcentral is "lncRNA (ENSCGRG00015030096.1)". Lineage: Eukaryota; Metazoa; Chordata; Mammalia; Rodentia; Cricetidae. The record is from RNAcentral.
CACGAAUAGAAAACAAAAAGAGGUGCAGGAGGAAGCCAGGAAGUUGGACACUAGCUUGGCAUUAAGCCAGUUCAAUCUAAGACAAAAUUGGUUUGUGCCACACGUGGAACGAUAAGUUCGCAGCCACAGUAAGGAGAAAUAAGAAGUCAAAAGUGAGCCUGCCAGUGGUGGCUCAUGCAGCACUCAGGCAGACAGAGCUCUGAGUUCAGGGCCAGCCUGGUCUACCAAGAGACUUCCAUACAGCUAGGGCGACACACAGAAACUCUGUCUUGAAAAAACAAAAACCAACCAAACAAGCAAAACCCAUACAAAGAUGCUACAAUGGAAGUUAAUGGGCUAUCGUCGGCUCACCCAGGGAACCAGGAGACCUUGAUGGAGGCCUGCUGAGGGUUCUCACCCAGAAAUGGGGAGAAAUGUUUGUGCCCCUCCCGCCGAGGCUAAAGGACUCUUCCCACUGGAAAGCCCCCCAACCAGGCCUCGCCUCCCAACCUGCUCGAAUGAGGCCUUGGGCGAUGGCCUCCGCCAUGCGACCUGCGCCCACGAAGCCCACAAGCAGCUGUUCAGAUCCUGAUGCCACCAUCGUGCUCCUCCUCUCUAGUGGUAAACUUGAAAUGACAGAAUUCUUUGGAGCCUAAUCCUAGGUAACCUUAGGAAAAUGGAUCUUAAUUAUUUUUGAACCUUGAUUUUUCAAAAUACCAUAAAUGAUAUUUUCUUUUUCAAAGCUGCUUCUUAUUUGGGGCUACUUUUUUUUUUGUUUUUUAGUUGAGGUGUAAUUCAUAAAAGGGUACAUUAUUUUGAUGAGACACAUUUACAGUUGUGGCUGGAUGUCUUUCAGUAGUCUUCCAAGGAGGGCCAUUUUACUUUUUUAAGGUUACUUUUAAAGUCAUGGGGUCAUCAACUUGGACUACUUUGUGUUAGAAUCCAGCCUUGGCGACCUCCCAUGCCUAGCUAGCUGCCAGCUAGCCUAGCAUCCCACCCUUCAGGUUCCGGGACCUGGCCUGAGAAGCAACUAACACCUUCCCCCUCUUCCUUAGUUAGUGCUUGAGAUAAACAUAGGAGAUUCCGGAUACCUGGCCUGAGAGCAAUUAACAUUCAUU